RNAcentral lists this long non-coding RNA (2150 nucleotides) under Sus scrofa (pig). Its description in RNAcentral is "lncRNA (ENSSSCG00050001425.1)". Lineage: Eukaryota; Metazoa; Chordata; Mammalia; Artiodactyla; Suidae. The record is from RNAcentral.
ACCCCCCCCCCCCAAAAAAAAAAACCCUGUACCCGUUAGAAACCACUGCCCAUUCCCUGGCCUCCGCUAUUGGCAACCACUAAUCUGCUUUCUGUUUCUGUGGAUUUGGACAGUUCAGGUAGGUGGAAUCAUACAAUAAGGGGCCUUUUGCAGUUGGCUUCUUUCACUUAGCAUAGUGUUUUCAAGAUCCAUCGAUGUCGUAGCAGGCAUGCCUCGUUAUCUUAUUCCUCUUUACAGCCAAAUAACAUGCUGCUUUAUGGAAGUGUCCCGUGGGGUUUAUCCACCCCCCAGUUGGUGGGCAUUUGGUACAUUUCUUCUUUUGGGCUCUUAGGAAUUGUGCUGCCGUGGGCUCUCAUGCACAUGUUUUUUUGAUUUUUUUUUUUGGCCACAUCCAUGGCGUGCAGAAGUUCACUGGCCCAGGAUCAAACCUGAGCCACGGCAGCAACCCGAGUUACAGCAGUGACAGUGCUGAGUCCUUAGCUGCUAGGCCACCAGGAAACUCCUCUUCGUUGAACUUUUGAAGAACUGCCAGACUGUUGUCCGAGGUUCCUGGCAUCAUCUUCCAUUCCCGCCAGCCGUGCUGGAGGGUUCCAGUAUCUCCAUAGCCUCCCCAACACCUGUUGUUGCCCUUUUCCUCGCAUCUCCUAGCAGGGGUGAGGAGGUGCGAGUAUCUUCUUGAUCCUCAGCUGCCGCCUCUGCGACGUGGGACAGUUUCAUGUUACGGUUUUCAGGUGUAAGAAAGUCGAGGCGGGUCCGAGUUUCUGGUCUGAACCCUGAGGCAUCAUGGUGUGCAGGAACAGACCCAGGUCCCCGUCGUCCCCGCCCCGCGCCCCAGGAAGUCUUCUGUGUGGGGCCCUGAGCCCCGGGUUUGCUUAGGCGUGUUUAUUUCUACUUUAUGGUGCAGCAGGCACCCCGAGCAUGUGUGUUCUUAUGUUGCAGAAACACUGAUGGGAACGCUUUGGUUGGGAAAGGCCUUGGUUCCUCCUGGAGUCACUGUAGACCCGGCCCAGCUCUGUGACCUUGAAGCUCUUCUAAGGAGCGCAGCCCUGCUUUCCCAGACGCGGUGCGUCCUCCAGUGCCGCAUGGCUGGACGGCCCCAUUUCAGUUCCGCAGCCAUAAUCAACCCCACUUGACACAUGGAGGCCUCACCAUGCUUGCUGACCUGGCUAUGGCGACAGCAGUGCCGUGGAAACCCUGUAUUCUGUAGGGACUCCCCUGUUGGAAAGGAAAUUCUCUUUGUGGCCCCGUGUGGGUUUACAAAACAGCUGUGUCUGUCGGUUCCCUUACUUGCUUUGAUCUGCUGAUGACACUUGUCUGAGGUUGGCUUAUUUUCUUGCCUGUUUACCUAACGGCCCAUUUCUGCCCUCAUCCUCAGGUAGGGCUCCGAAAUCAAAGAUUUUCUUCCCCCAUUUAUUGCUAUGACCUCAGUCCCUCGGGCAGUUCGUGGCCCAGGGGCACCUUGACAAAGGAAGGGGAAGUGGGGGGACCCCCCACCAGGAAUCCCAUUGCAGAGUGAGGAGGCCUGUCUCCGGUUCCUCAACAGCUCAGCUCCCCGCUGCCUGGCACUUGGCUGUGUUCGUUUGUUUAGCAAACUUACUGAGUGUAGACUCCCCCUAACACUCAGAGGUCACCCCACCUGCCUGCCUUUGGAUCCCCGGUCUUAGAGGUCACCCCACCUGCCCGCCUUUGCAUCCCUGGUCUCCAUGUGUUAACUGUACCCCUGGGGCGUCCCUGACCUCCGAGCAGCUCACUUCCUCCCAUCCCUAGAAUGAAUGUGAUAAUGCUGAUUUCCUCGUGGACUCGUGAGGACUCAGUGAAUUAGAGCGUCACAGCCUCACAGAACAAGGGAUAAGUAAAUAGCCACCAGAGCCAUAAUAGUAACACUUAAUGUUAUUUUUUAUUAUGUGCCUUUCGUUUUGCUGCUGUUUUCUACUAGGUGUCAGGCAUCGUUGCAGUGUCUGGAGAUGCUCAGUUAUAGUAGACGAAAUUGUAUCCAUCAUGGAACUCGCAUUGAAGCGUAGGGGGAAACUAGCACACUAGAUCAUUUGCCAUGAAAAUGAAGCAGGCAGGGGAGCUGCCUGGUGGCCUAGGAUUCAGCCCUUUCACCACUGUGCCCUGGGUUCAGUCCUUGGUCUGGGAACUGAGAUCCA